CAACUUGAGAGUUUGAUCCUGGCUCAGAACGAACGCUGGCGGCAGGCUUAACACAUGCAAGUCGAGCGCCUCGCAAGAGGAGCGGCAGACGGGUGAGUAACGCGUGGGAACAUACCCUCCGGUUCGGAAUAACUCAGGGAAACUUGAGCUAAUACCGGAUACGGUCGAGAGGCGAAAGAUUUAUCGCCGGAGGAUUGGCCCGCGUCCGAUUAGCUAGUUGGUGUGGUAAUGGCGCACCAAGGCGACGAUCGGUAGCUGGUCUGAGAGGAUGAUCAGCCACA
Molecule: ribosomal RNA, 281 nt
Filed under: Pseudomonadota bacterium
Lineage: Bacteria; Pseudomonadati; Pseudomonadota
Description: partial 16S ribosomal RNA
Rfam family: Bacterial small subunit ribosomal RNA
Source: RNAcentral